RNAcentral lists this ribosomal RNA (117 nucleotides) under Oreochromis niloticus (Nile tilapia). Lineage: Eukaryota; Metazoa; Chordata; Actinopteri; Cichliformes; Cichlidae. The record is from RNAcentral.
GCUUACGGCCAUACCACCCUGAACGGGCCGAUCUCGUCUGAUCUCGGAAGCCAAGCAGGGUCGGGCCUGGUCAGUACUUGGACGGGAGACCGCCUGGGAAACCAGGUGCUGUAAGCU